This 148-nucleotide non-coding RNA is filed under the name Chlorocebus sabaeus (green monkey). The record is from Rfam by way of RNAcentral. Lineage: Eukaryota; Metazoa; Chordata; Mammalia; Primates; Cercopithecidae.
GCCGGGUGUGGUGGUGCAUGCCUGUAAUCCCAGCUACUUGGGAGGCUGAGGCAGGAGAACUGCUUGAGCCCAGGAGGUGGAGAUUGCAGUGAGCCAAGAUCAUGUCACUGCACUCCAGCCUGGGCAACAGAGCAAGACUUUGUCUUAA